AGAGUUUAAUCAUGGCUCAGGACGAACGCUGGCGUCGUGCCUAACACAUGCAAGUCGAGCGGAGACAGUGAGUAGCUUGCUAUGAGCUGUUUUAGCGGCGGACGGGUGAGUAACGCGUGAGCAACCUUUCCCAGACAGGGGAAUAACACACCGAAAGGUGUACUAAUACCGCAUAAGACCACGGGAUCACAUGGUUCUGGGGUAAAAGAUUUAUCGGUUUGGGGUGGGCUCGCGUCCGAUUAGGUAGUUGGUGAGGUAACGG
Molecule: ribosomal RNA, 262 nt
Filed under: uncultured bacterium
Lineage: Bacteria
Description: partial 16S ribosomal RNA
Rfam family: Bacterial small subunit ribosomal RNA
Source: RNAcentral